RNAcentral lists this transfer RNA (73 nucleotides) under Paramuricea clavata. It matches the Rfam family "tRNA". Rfam says of the family: Transfer RNA (tRNA) molecules are approximately 80 nucleotides in length. Their secondary structure includes four short double-helical elements and three loops (D, anti-codon, and T loops). Further hydrogen bonds mediate the characteristic L-shaped molecular structure. tRNAs have two regions of fundamental functional importance: the anti-codon, which is responsible for specific mRNA codon recognition, and the 3' end, to which the tRNAs corresponding amino acid is attached (by aminoacyl-tRNA synthetases). tRNAs cope with the degeneracy of the genetic code in two manners: having more than one tRNA (with a specific anti-codon) for a particular amino acid; and 'wobble' base-pairing, i.e. permitting non-standard base-pairing at the 3rd anti-codon position. The record is from Rfam by way of RNAcentral. Lineage: Eukaryota; Metazoa; Cnidaria; Anthozoa; Malacalcyonacea; Plexauridae.
ACAUCUGUAGCUCAGUUGGUUAGAGCGCCGCAUCGGAAUUGCCGGGCCGUAAGUUCAAUUCCUACCAGAGGAC